Molecule: ribosomal RNA, 460 nt
Filed under: uncultured bacterium
Lineage: Bacteria
Description: partial 16S ribosomal RNA
Rfam family: Bacterial small subunit ribosomal RNA
Source: RNAcentral
CCUACGGGGGACAGCAGUGAGGAAUAUUGGUCAAUGGGCGCUAGCCUGAACCAGCCAAGUAGCGUGAAGGAUGACUGCCCUAUGGGUUGUAAACUUCUUUUAUAUGGGAAUAAAGUGCAGUAUGUAUACUGCUUUGCAUGUACCUUAUGAAUAAGGAUCGGCUAACUCCGUGCCAGCAGCCGCGGUAAUACGGAGGAUCCGAGCGUUAUCCGGAUUUAUUGGGUUUAAAGGGAGCGUAGGCGGGUUGUUAAGUCAGUUGUGAAAGUUUGCGGCUCAACCGUAAAAUUGCAGUUGAUACUGGCAUCCUUGAGUACAGUAGAGGUAGGCGGAAUUCGUGGUGUAGCGGUGAAAUGCUUAGAUAUCACGAAGAACUCCGAUUGCGAAGGCAGCCUGCUGGACUGUAACUGACGCUGAUGCUCGAAAGUGUGGGUAGCAAACAGGAUUAGAUACCCGAGUAGUC